This 896-nucleotide ribosomal RNA is filed under the name Escherichia coli. RNAcentral's name for it is "partial 23S ribosomal RNA". It matches the Rfam family "Bacterial large subunit ribosomal RNA", at positions 71 to 1008 of the family's 2925-position model. The record is from RNAcentral. Lineage: Bacteria; Pseudomonadati; Pseudomonadota; Gammaproteobacteria; Enterobacterales; Enterobacteriaceae.
AUAAGCGUCGGUAAGGUGAUAUGAACCGUUAUAACCGGCGAUUUCCGAAUGGGGAAACCCAGUGUGUUUCGACACACUAUCAUUAACUGAAUCCAUAGGUUAAUGAGGCGAACCGGGGGAACUGAAACAUCUAAGUACCCCGAGGAAAAGAAAUCAACCGAGAUUCCCCCAGUAGCGGCGAGCGAACGGGGAGCAGCCCAGAGCCUGAAUCAGUGUGUGUGUUAGUGGAAGCGUCUGGAAAGGCGCGCGAUACAGGGUGACAGCCCCGUACACAAAAAUGCACAUACUGUGAGCUCGAUGAGUAGGGCGGGACACGUGGUAUCCUGUCUGAAUAUGGGGGGACCAUCCUCCAAGGCUAAAUACUCCUGACUGACCGAUAGUGAACCAGUACCGUGAGGGAAAGGCGAAAAGAACCCCGGCGAGGGGAGUGAAAAAGAACCUGAAACCGUGUACGUACAAGCAGUGGGAGCCUCUUAAUGGGGUGACUGCGUACCUUUUGUAUAAUGGGUCAGCGACUUAUAUUCUGUAGCAAGGUUAACCGAAUAGGGGAGCCGAAGGGAAACCGAGUCUUAACUGGGCGUUAAGUUGCAGGGUAUAGACCCGAAACCCGGUGAUCUAGCCAUGGGCAGGUUGAAGGUUGGGUAACACUAACUGGAGGACCGAACCGACUAAUGUUGAAAAAUUAGCGGAUGACUUGUGGCUGGGGGUGAAAGGCCAAUCAAACCGGGAGAUAGCUGGUUCUCCCCGAAAGCUAUUUAGGUAGCGCCUCGUGAAUUCAUCUCCGGGGGUAGAGCACUGUUUCGGCAAGGGGGUCAUCCCGACUUACCAACCCGAUGCAAACUGCGAAUACCGGAGAAUGUUAUCACGGGAGACACACGGCGGGUGCUAACGUCCGU